AUGCGAUGGGCACAGCCAAAACCAAAUGAAAGGAACAAACAAAACCCAAAAAACCAAAACAUCUUCCACGAAAAGACGACAAAGCUCUGUCUCGCCUCCCAUCACAACUGUUGCCUCAACAGACGACCCCCGCCCCUGCCACGUGCGGGCUUAGAACCCGUAUUUCGCUGGGGGCUGUGUGGUCAGGAGGGUGGGCUGAGCGCAGCUGGAGGCCAAGCCCUGCCAGGGGUGCGCAGGGGGCCGGGGCUGCGAGCUCAGGAGGCCCUCCAGAAGCUUCCUACACAGGGCGGCUGGGCAGCUGGGCGGCCAGGGUACCCGUCCCGAGGGCAAGGCUUCCAAGGGGCCUAUCUGGGACUGCCACCCGCCCGGGUGCCUCCCGGCGUCACCGUCGAAGCCCCAACGGGGCCCAGUCUCCAGAGGAGGGGCUUCGACCUGCCGGCCACUCUCCCCACACCGCCCCUGCCCCGGGACCCUGCGCAGGAGCCCGCCGGGGGCGCCUCCCCGAGGCAGAGGCUUGGGUGGGACGUGUCCGCCUCAGGCAAAGGGCAAGCAGGUGCUUUGGCACGUGGGGGAGAAGCCAACGACAAGAGGCGACGCUCCCACAGCCACAUUAACCGCGCACGACAGACCGGGGGACACGGGCCGCGGCUCUCACAGGUCAGGGCUCAGAUACCAGGAACCCAGAACACCAAGGAGAAAAGAGCCCCACCCGCCCAGAGACCCGCGGAAACCCGGCCCGAGGCGCGAACACCCCGUCCUCGUGGAACCCGAGGCCCAGAGCCCCAGAGACGAGACGCCACCCAGCUCCACCCCAGUGAGAGAGACGUGACACAAACACACGGCGAUGGCCACCCCCGCCCGGGACCCCCCCCCCAGUGUGCCGACACUGUCGCCUGGGAGGUGGUGGAAGCAGGCAGGACGGGCCGCGGGACAGGGCCACCCCGGGGGCACUUGGGCAAAGCCACGCACGCACUGUCCUUUCGGCCUAGAAAGCCCACUUAUAAGACGCUGGCCCACGACACGCUUGAAAAUACACGAAAACCCUGA
RNAcentral lists this long non-coding RNA (1047 nucleotides) under Sus scrofa (pig). RNAcentral's name for it is "lncRNA (ENSSSCG00070022388.1)". The record is from RNAcentral. Lineage: Eukaryota; Metazoa; Chordata; Mammalia; Artiodactyla; Suidae.